CUCACUAAAACCCCAUUCCCCUGUAUAUAAACCUCACACCUCGCACUCUCGUGGUCCUUUCGCUUUGGUCAUAUUUCUUUCGAAGAGUUUCUCUCUCUGACGUUGCGCUUUCUCUCUCUAGUCUUUGAUUCUUAUCCUUUGAAGGUCUGGUCAACAGAUGUCUUUUGAUUCUAUCGAGAAGAACCAGUGGUUUCUUUGGAUUGCUUUCUGUUUCAGGAACCGUCGGAGGCUUUGGUGUUCUCGUAAGGUCUUGUUUAGGCAUUGGACUUGACAGUAGUUAGUAUUAGUUUUGUGAGGAGGGGUGAUUGUUGGGGGGCUGUGGUGUGUGUAAUUGUGUCUUGGUGUUUCUUUUUCGGUGCAAUCUGCUUUAUUUUCUUUAGAAGGGGUUUUUUAGGUUGAGUGAAGUGCGUUGGAGUACUGUCAGUGGAGGUGUUCUAUAAUUGGUGUACUGUGGGGGCGUUCUAUUGUCAUUCCUUGAUGGCAAGGACGUCCCUUCCUCCAGGCUUUCGAUUCCAUCCAACUGAUGUCGAGCUGGUUAUGUAUUAUCUCAAGAGGAAGGCUAUGGGAAAGAGGCUUCUCUUUGACCCUAUUGCUGAGGUCAACAUUUAUAAAUUCUCUCCAUGGGAUCUUCCAGAUAAAUCGUGCUUGAAAAGUAAGGAUCUAGAGUGGUUCUUUUUCUGCCCUAGAGAGAAGAAGUAUGCUUGUGGGGUUCGAAUGAAGCGUGGUACUGAGAAUGGAUACUGGAAAACCACUGGAAAGGAUAGACCCGUCCAUUAUAAUGAGAAUGUUGUUGGUAUGGUGAGAACCUUGGUUUUUUACCUAGGUCAUGCACCACAAGGACAGAGAACCAAUUGGAUUAUUCAUGAGUAUAGGAUCCUAGAUGAGCAGUUGGCUGCUGCUGGACUUCAGGACCUCUAUGUGCUUUGUAAAGUCUUCCAGAAAGAUGGUCUGGGCCCAAAAAAUGGUGCACAGUAUGGGGCACCCUUUAAUGAGGCAGAUUGGGAUGACGAUAAUGAUGAUGAUAUACAAAACCAUGUCAUAUCUUUGCCAUCUGAUGGUCCGUCCCUUGCAGCAUCAACAUUGCCUGAAAAUCAAAACUGCUCUGUCGUAACAAGCAUGGUUGAUCCUGGAAGUAAGUCUGGACAAUCUAUUGAAAUUGGCCCGUCACAUUUCUCUGGUCCUUUGGCUAAUGAGGUGCCAGUGGAUUUGCUGGAUGAUGAAAUUGUUCACUUGUUGGCCUCUUUUACGGAUGACAGCGUGUUACUCAAUGAUAAUGGAAAUUAUGGGAAUCGAGAUGGUCUUAAUCAGAAUUGGAAGAAUGAAUCUUUACCUUGUCUGGAUGGAAAUGAAAUAUACAACGGUCUCUGUGACUUGGAUAAUUGGGACUCGAUGAAUGAAGGCAGACUUGAUUUUGCUGGCAUGCAGAAAGAUGGCUAUCCUCUGAACUACACGCUGCCACAAGAUAACAUAGCUUAUUUGGAACUUAAUGAUCUUGAAGUUCCAUUGAAUCACCCUGCUGAAGUUAAUGAAAUGGAACAGAUGCAAUUUGACAAUUUCUUCGGACCAUAUGCCCAGGUUGAUACAGAACAGCUAAUCUUUGGAGGAAAUUUUUCUGGUAUGGAUGAGUAUGCUUCUUUCCCAGAUCAUCUUCCUGUGCUGCCUGAAGGAUCCAACCGACAAGGCGGUUGUUUGGAUGUGCUUCAGAUGGAAAGCAGCCAGCGUGACCGUGGUCACAAUGCUGCUGCUCAGACUUUGACUUUUACUAGAGACUCUGAGAAGGGGGCAAAUUUCAUUUGAAACACGGAAAUGGGUAGUUUCGAUGAUAACUGAUAACAAUUCUGGACAUGGGAACAAACAUUCACUUUCAAUAUCUCAUUCUUCUGUAAUAUCAACAGGCAAACUUAUUUGGAAACUCAGGAGGUCCAAGAGGAAUAAGUUAUAUUCUGCAAAUCCCUGUUGAAACAGCAUGCCAUUUAGAACUGGAAUUCUACUUGUGGCAAGGCUUGAGGUGGUCUCCUGAUGUUCUGUAUUCUAGUGUCUGGUUGAGUUUCAUAUUUAUGGUGUCAUUUAACAUUUGUGUUGCUGAAAUCUAAAAAGAAACUCAUGAAAAUUAGACUUCAUACAAUGUAUUUGUACUCAUGAUUGACGGAUGAUUCAGCCUGCAGGGCCACAAUUAUCGAAAUCGUCCCUACUUUCCCACUAGCAAUUGCUGAUGUUUGUAGUUUCUUCUUAUGGUGGCUUUUCCAUAUAUUUCAAGGCUGAGGUGAAUCAUCGCAUUCACUAAGGACGCUUGUCGGUUAGGUUCGUGGAGUCGAUAUGUGUGGCUAACUUUCGUGAAAAAUUGGCCUGCUGUUGCUGUGGCUUUGCAUUUAUCAAAAUAUUUUUUUUGGUUAGUUUCCUUGAAUAAUUGCCAUUCUCAUGGAUUCCCGUGUCUAUUGGUGGAGUUAUUUGUAUUAUUAUUUCAACAAUAUCAAUUCUUGGGAAUAUCCUUCAUAUUGGAAAUUCUUGGGAAAAUGCCCUUUUUAUUCCUC
RNA transcript from Olea europaea var. sylvestris, 2531 nucleotides. It is a transcript of the gene named NAC domain-containing protein 82-like, with no coding region annotated. The transcript is spliced from 7 exons. The record is from RefSeq and is a predicted model, not a curated record. NCBI's taxonomy places the organism in Eukaryota, Viridiplantae, Streptophyta, Magnoliopsida, Lamiales, Oleaceae.